AUGAUGGCAACACUGAUAGGAGUCAUGGGUCUGUGCUCAAAAUUUGGUAUAAUGUAAAAGUUGGUGGGCACCAACUCACCUCGCAGAAGCGACAACAAUGAGAAAAAGAUCCCCAUCAAGAUCAAUCCUAAGACAACAGGAAAGGGCUGCAAAACACGGCCAGUAAUAGCAGGUGUGCCAGAGUACUGGAUGCUUAUAUCAUCCCCGUGAUCAGCCCAUACUGUUGAUACAUAUGCCAUCAAAUGUUUGGACAGUGAGCUUAACAUGAAAACUAAGAACACAAAGCCAUAAAAAGUUGGUUGUAUACAUAUUUUGAAGCAGUCAUCAAAAUUAGGAUGUGUGCUAAUGCUUUCAUCUGCAUCGAAUAGACCAAGCCUUUGAAGUUGAAAUUCCAACAUCUUUCUCCCAAUCAUGCUCUACACCGAGACAAGAUAACUUGAGUUGAAGGAUAUUUAGCCGCUCGAAAUGAACAUGUCCACAAAUCUUGUGGAAAUCGAAGUGAAAGUAUCUGCAAAACUCAUCCAAAUUAGCAUAUAUGGCUUGUCUAUGAGCAACCCGGAAAACUAGACAAUACUCUACCUCAUAUCAUUGUUAAGAAUGUUCUGCACUGAGGUAGCAAACUUCUCACUUAAACGUCCUUCAUCACCACGCUAUAAUAGAUAACAAGCAGUGAUUAAAGCAAACAGAAUGUUGCAAGACCAGAAGUGUCAGUUUCAGCCCAUUUGCUUAUGAAUGGGUCGAUUUGCGCUAUCUUUUAUCUCUAACGGGUCCAGUGGGUAGAAAGUUGCCCAAGGUGUACUUUUAAUGAUUAAA
This is a long non-coding RNA of Erigeron canadensis, 813 nucleotides long. RefSeq lists it as uncharacterized. The record is from RefSeq and is a predicted model, not a curated record. The transcript is spliced from 3 exons. NCBI's taxonomy places the organism in Eukaryota, Viridiplantae, Streptophyta, Magnoliopsida, Asterales, Asteraceae.